CAUGUGUAAGGAGAGGAGGACGAGAUAGUCCAGGCAGGGAGUGAAAGAAGAAGACUCCUGAAAGAAGAGAUCAAAGGCUCACCUUGUCUCCAUGAGGUUUCUUAUGGAGGCCACGCCUCUCCCUCCAUCUCCCCUCUCUCUCUCUCUCUCUCUUCUGUGUGCAGAGCGAGAGGCCAUUAUCUGAAGCACAGUGAGCACGUACGAUGGAAUGGAGGAGUAUGCAGUGAGCAGAGGCAGAGAGAGCACAGGGAGCGGCAGCCGAGAGCAACAGGGCUCCUUCAGAGACUCAACCAUCAUCGAGACAGCUUCACGUCUGCUCUGCAUCUCGUGCACAUCAUACGUACUCAACAACAAGUCCAGGUUUAGCAAUGUCUCGAAUGACCGCGAGGCAGCAGGAAAGGGUUUUAUGUAACGUCGCCUCCACGAAAACAUGAGGAAACAGCAAUGGUGAAUUGCUUUCUCGUGGCGUCUGCAACCAACAUCAAGUGUCACUGUGUGUUCGAGGUUCUACUUUCGGCGCUCGCCAAAGAAGAAUCGCCUCGUCAUGCCGCGGGCACCUCAGUCACUAUCUUCAUGUCGCGGCGAGCAAGCACGGACGGAAGCCCGCUCAGAUUGAAGGUUGCGAGGCUUGUUGGGAUAAGGAGAAGUGAUAGCUGCGUAGAGGCAACGCUGGACUGGCGGGAUCAAGAUUCAAGGAAACAGACGUGUUUGAACGGUCUUCUGCAGGAUGGACGUCUUCUCAUCGGCGUUACGUUGUUGUGUCUCUGCUCUUAUCUCUGUGGAAGCUUUCAAGACCACUGACUCUGGCCUUCUGGAUUGACUGCCCUCGCGCUUGAGUUUGGAGCAGCGAAGGUGGCGAGAGGAACGUUGCCAUCUUUUUUGCUCCGAUAUAGCGUUUUUGUCUGGUGUUCUCUGGAUGUUUAACGCCCGCACUUCUGCAAGGCAAAAAUAUCUCCAUCAGCCCACGGACUCUCCUCUGUGCUCUCCCUCCAUCUCUGCGCUUCACACUGGCCGAUCUCCUCACGUCCCACUUUUCUUUUCUUUCUUCCCUGCACAGUUCGACCGAAACACUGAAACUGUUUAGCUUUACCCACAGGCAUGUCUUAGUAAGCUUAAGAAGAACCAGCAGCGCAGUGGAAGCAGACGGAGAGGAGAAAUAGAGCAAUAGGGUCACAUGACCACAGCGUGCCAACCAGUUAAAGGGAAAGCUGAGCGCAGGAGAGGAAGCAACCACGUGACCAAGCAAAGGCAGCAACGUCAUCCUCUCCGGUGUUUCCCUCCGCCUCUGGUUGGUGGUCUGACAAACUCAUGUGAAGAACGCCUCGUAUGUCUGACUUCACCUGACCAAACAAAGACUACGUCACUGGAUCGAACCCAGAAAAUGAAUCAAGCAGUAGCGACAACAUAACUCCGGUCUUCCACCAUCACCGUUGCUCUGUCGCUGCAGCCGCGAGGCUACGUUUGGCCGAAAACCUCUCCCUCUCAGGGAGCAGCCAGCUUUAGCACCUUGAUAUUAUCUGAGCCAGCGGUUUCCAGAGGUCAUAUUUCUAGUCUCACACUUUUCACCUCCAUGCAAACAAAUAAUUCAGAGGCUGCCGAGGCUCUGUUUCUCCUUCACUCUAGCGCACAGUCACAUAGGAAUGAGCGUCAAAGGAAGGAAACUAGUUAAGGAUCACUGUUCGUCCAUGUCCCUAAACCUCAACUCCACAGCCUGAUCUCUCAUCUAGUCUUGCUUCCCCCACUGAUUCUCUCCAGGCCUUUGUUUUCCUCGACCAUAACCCGCCGUGCUUUUCCCAGCGCCGACCCACGGAUGAGCGUCAUCCCAAAAUAGCUGCUCAAGCGGCGCUCGGGGGAAAUCCACGUGGAAGUGAAGGCAUGGGGGUGACAUAAAUGCACCGUCAUGGUGGCCGGUGUUUCCCAGCAGAACGCCCUCGCCCACCUCCCCGGAAGCGCGUGUCAUUUCAAAAGCUUCGCCUUAGAUCAUCCACCUCAGAUGACAUCACCACUCGUCAUCUUUCCUGUUGCUCUUUUUAACCAUGCAGCGGAACCUGAUGAGUAUUUUCGUGACCUGGCUUGACUUUACGCUCAGUCAGCCGGGAAAAAAAAAAAAGGCGGCGGCGGCUUCUCUACAGACUUUGCCCCAGUGAGCCGCUCUGAUGUUACCUAAUCCACACCUCUGGUUACUGACUUACUAGAAACCACACACUGUAACUUUGAAAUGUGCGAUAGCAUCACAUUAAAAGCAAAAGUCGGUAUCACACCCCCAA
This is a long non-coding RNA of Synchiropus splendidus (mandarinfish), 2267 nucleotides long. RefSeq lists it as uncharacterized. The record is from RefSeq and is a predicted model, not a curated record. The transcript has 2 exons. Lineage: Eukaryota; Metazoa; Chordata; Actinopteri; Syngnathiformes; Callionymidae.